RNAcentral lists this long non-coding RNA (338 nucleotides) under Gossypium raimondii (Peruvian cotton). RNAcentral describes it as "long non-coding RNA (GRAI_LNC007898)". The record is from RNAcentral. Lineage: Eukaryota; Viridiplantae; Streptophyta; Magnoliopsida; Malvales; Malvaceae.
CGGUGGGCAUGCUGACGCGGCACGUGAAGCGGCUGCGCGGCUGGAACUAGGGUUUUUUUUGUUUUGAAAAUUUUGUUUAUGUGUUGUGGGCUAGGGUUUUUUUGGUUAUUUUGGGCCACAUUGGUCUUGGGCUUGUUGUUUUGUUUUGUAAUUUCGACUGUAAUUUGAACUUUUAAUUUAUAUUUUUUUGAAUUUUAUUUGUCUUGGGCCUGGGCAAAAUAGGCCCAUUACAGUCUAUUUUUAAAAAUUUAGUUUGAAAAGGGAGAGAAUGCUCUAAUUUAAAAUGACAAAAAAGAUAAUUUUAAAUUUACGAGGCAAAUUAAAUUUUUUAUUAAAAU